RNAcentral lists this long non-coding RNA (2448 nucleotides) under Phoenix dactylifera (date palm). RNAcentral describes it as "long non-coding RNA (PDAC_LNC010789)". Lineage: Eukaryota; Viridiplantae; Streptophyta; Magnoliopsida; Arecales; Arecaceae. The record is from RNAcentral.
GUUUGAGUCGAUUUGGUUGUUGAGUCAAGCGAUUGGAUCAAUUGAUCAAUGUAAGACCUAAUUAUAAUGGUCCAACUUUGGGUGUGAUCAAUUGGUUUAAUGGUCUAAUGUUAGUAAGGUUUAAUUUGGUAUGUAAUCAAUUAAUUGACUUAGUCAAUUAAUUGAAGGUCCAAGUUUGGUUAGUUGUUAAUUGUUGACUUGGUCAAUUCAUAAUGUAAGGCUUAUAUAAGGGCCACCCCGCUCAUGAAUUAGAAGAAUUGAAUGAUUGAAUAAAAAAAUUCUAGCCUUCUUUCUGCUUCUUCUUCCUCCUCCUCCUCUUCUCUUCUUUCUGCGUCUCUAUAACUUCUUCUUCCUCCUUCUCUUCUUCUUCCUCUCUCUCUUCUCCCUGCAGUGGUCCGCCAUCACAUACUGAGCCAAUUUUUGUGCUUCCUCAUGUUAUGGGGUACAUUGGAUACUUGGAAGCCUUCAAGCGGUGGAUCGAAAUGCACCUCAGUAGUCAUCCUAUAUUUUGAUUUCAAGAGAAAUGUGUGUGGAACUCCAUCAUCAAUUAUUGGAAAUCCAACAGUAGAGAUUGUAUGAGCACCAUUCAAGAGAUUGCAUGGACGCAAUCUUGUGCAGAAGAAGUGAAUGAUGAAGGACAAAAAAAUAUCUUAUUAUAUUUGCGGAUUUUUUCUUAUGCAUUUUUUAUAGUUAGCUUUACAAUCCUGAUUUCUGCAAGAUUGGUGUGUAAGAGUCCUCGUUCAAUUAUAUAUUGGGUCAAAUAAGUUGCAAAGUUGUUAUGAUUUAAUUUCUUAACUAUUAUUUGGAAAGUUUGGAUAUAGAGAAUUUUAGAUCAAUUACAUCUUUUAUGGAAUCAAUUUACAAAAAAAGGAGUUCUAGGAUCAUCAUAGAUAAGUCAAAGAAUCCUUUGUCGGAUAGCAAGCAAAGUUUUUCGAUGUCUCAAAGUUUAUAAAUAUGGGCCUCUAUAAAGUGACGAAUUUAUGAAGAUUAUUGAGUUAUUUUUGUAUGGAAUUUUGUUGGCUAAGUUUGGCCCUCUCUCCCUACACUCACUCUUCUUCUUCAUCAUCAUCUAUUAUUCUCUUAAACCAUCAUCUCUUUUCCUUAUCUUCUGCUACUUAUUCCUCUCUCAUCUAGCUUAAUCUUCUUCUUCUUCUUCUAUUGUUUAUCUCUCUACUUCUGUAUGGUGAUAGAUCAAAUCACUGUCUAUAGAGAUUUGUGUGCAUUAUUUGAUCAAAUCUAGUUGUCGGUUUAUAUCAGAUUAUUCAAUUUCAGAUCACUGUCUACAGAGAUCUGUGUGCAUUAUUUGAUCAACUCUAGUUGUAGGUUUAUACUGACUAUUCAAUUAAGACCUAAGAAAUCCUGGGUUCAGAUAAUUCUUCCAUGUGUAAGGCAUCCUAAUUGAAGAUUCUUCUUGAACAUUCAUCGCCUCUAAUUUCAAAUUCUGUUGUUGGCUGUCUUGUUUUAGGACAAUUGGUAGGACACAAUAGAGGGUCAGACGGGGGGGUGGGGGGGGGGGGGGAGUGUGGAGGCCACUUCCAACACUAUGACCUUAAGGAAAAGGAUUUCGAAACCAAGCUAUCUCCUCUCUCGAAAUGGGAAAGAGACCAGAAGCCUCCACAUGUCCCUACAAAUAAAAGAUGUGAUAGUCAAAAUACUAGAAAGAGGAUUUUGAUAAUAUAUCAGACUCUAACAAGCCAGAUUCUCUUUAACUCACAAAUUCCAACAAAAGUUGGAUCUCAACCAAUUCUCGCUUUUUAUGCUUAAGAAUAUGUACUUUCAAAACUAGGGGGAAAUCAAUGAGAUGGUGAAAUUAUAGUUGUCAUGCAAACUCUUUAAUUCUCUAAGAAAAAAAUUCGGUAUAUAAACUGACUCUAUUUUCCUCUCUUAUGAAAUCAACUCUACAGAGUAGAAAAUAUUUUUUAAUAAAAUAAAUAGAUUAUAUCCAUGUUUGCUAUCACAUCACCAUGUGUCAAGAUCUAGCCACUCCUUCUAUACGCAUGAGAAUAUUUUGUUAUCUCAGAGAUCUGUCAAGCACACCAAACCAUUAGUUCCACAUAGUUAGGUAUAGUGCCCUUGUAUAAAGAUCUUCCACACCUUGCAUCCCCUCAGUUCAUCUUGCCUCCUAUAUACUAUUUCCCUUGCAUAGAAUGCUAGGUGCUCACUUACUGUCACAAGUAUUGGUUACCAUAAAAAGCAAAGAUUCCUUCAAGUUAUUCACAUUAUAUUACGACGAACACUAAGACCAGCAAUAUUAUUGAGAUCUUUUGGCAUGGAAACAUAUUAAUCUGCCAGGUGUCAUUGUUAACUCAGCAUGUAGUCAUGAAAACUAAAAUAGCAUUCAAUAUAGAAGCUAACUGAAGAUGAAUAUUACAAUAUGUUUUUGAAAAAACAGACUUUACUCCAUAGAUAUUUGUAAUUAGAGGGAAGAAAUUUCACAACAUCAAAAUA